CCUACGGGUGGCAACAGUGGGGAAUAUUGCACAAUGGGGGAAACCCUGAUGCAGCGACGCCGCGUGAGUGAAGAAGUAUUUCGGUAUGUAAAGCUCUAUCAGCAGGGAAGAAAAUGACGGUACCUGAUUAAGAAGCCCCGGCUAACUACGUGCCAGCAGCCGCGGUAAUACGUAGGGGGCAAGCGUUAUCCGGAUUUACUGGGUGUAAGGGGAGCGUAGACGGCAGCACAAGUCUGGAGUGAAAUGCCGGGGCUUAACCCCGGAACUGCUUUGGAAACUGUGCAGCUAGAGUGCAGGAGAGGUAAGUGGAAUUCCUAGUGUAGCGGUGAAAUGCGUAGAUAUUAGGAGGAACACCAGUGGCGAAGGCGAGUUGCUAGACUGUAACUGACACUGAGGCACGAAAGCGUGGGGAGCAAACAGGAUUAGAUACCCGUGUAGUC
This 440-nucleotide ribosomal RNA is filed under the name uncultured bacterium. RNAcentral describes it as "partial 16S ribosomal RNA". It matches the Rfam family "Bacterial small subunit ribosomal RNA", at positions 338 to 795 of the family's 1533-position model. The record is from RNAcentral.